RNAcentral lists this ribosomal RNA (407 nucleotides) under uncultured bacterium. Its description in RNAcentral is "partial 16S ribosomal RNA". It matches the Rfam family "Bacterial small subunit ribosomal RNA", at positions 30 to 526 of the family's 1533-position model. The record is from RNAcentral.
AUUGAACGCUGGCGGCAGGCCUAACACAUGCUAGUCGAGCGGAGCGGCGGACGGGUGAGUAAUACCUAGGAAUCUGCCUGGUAGUGGAGGAUAACGUCAGGAAACGGGCGCUAAUACCGCAUCCUAUCAGAUGAGCCUAGGUCGGAUUAGCUAGUUGGUGGUUUAAAGGCCUACCAAGGCGACGAUCCGUAACUGGUCUGAGAGGAUGAUCAGUCACCCUGGACCUGAGACACGGUCCAGCGUCCUACGUGAGGAAGCAGUGGGGAAUAUUGGACAAUGGGCGAAAGCCUGAUCCAGCCAUGCCGAGUGUGUGAAGAAGGUCUUCGGAUUGUAAAGCACUUUAAGUUGGGAGGCGUUACCAACAGAAUAAGCACCGGCUAACUUCGUGCCAGCAGCCGCGGUAAUAC